Molecule: ribosomal RNA, 404 nt
Filed under: Actinomycetes bacterium
Lineage: Bacteria; Bacillati; Actinomycetota; Actinomycetes
Also listed under: 1 other name
Description: Actinobacteria bacterium partial 16S ribosomal RNA
Rfam family: Bacterial small subunit ribosomal RNA
Source: RNAcentral
UGGGGAAUAUUGGACAAUGGGCGCAAGCCUGAUCCAGCCAUGCCGCGUGAGUGAUGAAGGCCCUAGGGUUGUAAAGCUCUUUCACCGGUGAAGAUAAUGACGGUAACCGGAGAAGAAGCCCCGGCUAACUUCGUGCCAGCAGCCGCGGUAAUACGAAGGGGGCUAGCGUUGUUCGGAUUUACUGGGCGUAAAGCGCACGUAGGCGGACUUUUAAGUCAGGGGUGAAAUCCCGGGGCUCAACCCCGGAACUGCCUUUGAUACUGGAAGUCUUGAGUAUGGUAGAGGUGAGUGGAAUUCCGAGUGUAGAGGUGAAAUUCGUAAAUAUUCGGAGGAACACCAGUGGCGAAGGCGGCUCACUGGACCAUUACUGACGCUGAGGUGCGAAAGCGUGGGGAGCAAACAGG